This 230-nucleotide ribosomal RNA is filed under the name uncultured bacterium. RNAcentral describes it as "partial 16S ribosomal RNA". It matches the Rfam family "Bacterial small subunit ribosomal RNA", at positions 118 to 346 of the family's 1533-position model. The record is from RNAcentral.
UGAGCAAUCUGCCCUUCUCAUCGGAAUAAGCGUAGGAAACGACGUCUAAUGCCGAAUACGACCUCCUUUCGCAUGAUCGGAGGCGGAAAGCUCCGGCGGAGAAGGAUGAGCUCGCGGCCUAUCAGCUAGUUGGUGUGGGUAAUGGCCCACCAAGGCGACGACGAGUAGCCGGCCUGAGAGGGUGACCGGCCACACGUGGGACUGAGACCACGGCCCAGACUCCGUAGGGA